Panicum virgatum (switchgrass) is the source of this 147-nucleotide long non-coding RNA. RefSeq lists it as uncharacterized. Lineage: Eukaryota; Viridiplantae; Streptophyta; Magnoliopsida; Poales; Poaceae. The transcript is spliced from 3 exons. The record is from RefSeq and is a predicted model, not a curated record.
GCCCAUAUCAUAAUUGGGAUCUUCUACUUUGUGGGGUUUGGGCUGUUCUGUUUGGAGACGCUGCUGAGCAUUGCAGUUCUUCAGAGAGUGUACAUGUACUUCAGAGGGAACAAGUGAUGCCAGCCAUGAUUGAAAACUACAUUUGUC